CCUACGGGGUGCUGCAGGGGGGGAUAUUGCACAAUGGGGGAAACCCUGAUGCAGCGACGCCGCGUGUGGGAAGACGGUCCUUUGGAUUGUAAACCACUGUCCCCAGGGACGAAAAUGACGGUACCUGGGGAGGAAGCUCCGGCUAACUACGUGCCAGCAGCCGCGGUAAUACGUAGGGAGCGAGCGGUGUCCGGAAUUACUGGGUGUAAAGGGAGCGUAGGCGGGGAUGCAAGUUGGGUGUCAAAACUACCGGCUCAACUGGUAGUCGCACUCAAAACUGCAGCUCUUGAGUGAAGUAGAGGCAGGCGGAAUUCCUAGUGUAGCGGUGAAAUGCGUAGAUAUUAGGAGGAACACCAGUGGCGAAGGCGGCCUGCUGGGCUUUUACUGACGCUGAGGCUCGAAAGUGUGGGGAGCAAACAGGAUUAGAUACCCCUGUAGUC
Molecule: ribosomal RNA, 440 nt
Filed under: uncultured bacterium
Lineage: Bacteria
Description: partial 16S ribosomal RNA
Rfam family: Bacterial small subunit ribosomal RNA
Source: RNAcentral